GACGAACCGAGCGAACGUUGUUCGGAAUCACUGGGCUUAAAGGGCGCGUAGGCGGUCGUGACAAGUCACUUGUGAAAUCUCCGGGCUUAACUCGGAACGGUCAAGUGAUACUGUCGGACUAGAGUACAGAAGGGGCAACUGGAAUCUCGGUGUAGCGGUGAAAUGGCGUAGAGAUCGGGAAGAACAUCGGUGGCGAAAGCGCUCUGCUGGACUGCAACUGACACUCAGGGACGAAAGCUAGGGGAGCGAAAUGGG
This 255-nucleotide ribosomal RNA is filed under the name uncultured bacterium. Its description in RNAcentral is "partial 16S ribosomal RNA". It matches the Rfam family "Bacterial small subunit ribosomal RNA", at positions 524 to 777 of the family's 1533-position model. The record is from RNAcentral.